RNAcentral lists this ribosomal RNA (722 nucleotides) under uncultured Massilia sp. RNAcentral describes it as "bacterial SSU rRNA". It matches the Rfam family "Bacterial small subunit ribosomal RNA", at positions 775 to 1501 of the family's 1533-position model. Lineage: Bacteria; Pseudomonadati; Pseudomonadota; Betaproteobacteria; Burkholderiales; Oxalobacteraceae. The record is from RNAcentral.
GGAUUAGAUACCCUGGUAGUCCACGCCCUAAACGAUGUCUACUAGUUGUCGGGUUUUAAUUAACUUGGUAACGCAGCUAACGCGUGAAGUAGACCGCCUGGGGAGUACGGUCGCAAGAUUAAAACUCAAAGGAAUUGACGGGGACCCGCACAAGCGGUGGAUGAUGUGGAUUAAUUCGAUGCAACGCGAAAAACCUUACCUACCUUUGACAUGUACGGAAGCCACGAGAGAUCGAGGUGUGCUCGAAAGAGAGCCGUAACACAGGUGCUGCAUGGCUGUCGUCAGCUCGUGUCGUGAGAUGUUGGGUUAAGUCCCGCAACGAGCGCAACCCUUGUCAUUAGUUGCUACGAAAGAGCACUCUAAUGAGACUGCCGGUGACAAACCGGAGGAAGGUGGGGAUGACGUCAAGUCCUCAUGGCCCUUAUGGGUAGGGCUUCACACGUCAUACAAUGGUACAUACAGAGGGCCGCCAACCCGCGAGGGGGAGCUAAUCCCAGAAAGUGUAUCGUAGUCCGGAUUGUAGUCUGCAACUCGACUACAUGAAGUUGGAAUCGCUAGUAAUCGCGGAUCAGCAUGUCGCGGUGAAUACGUUCCCGGGUCUUGUACACACCGCCCGUCACACCAUGGGAGCGGGUUUUACCAGAAGUAGGUAGCUUAACCGCAAGGGGGGCGCUUACCACGGUAGGAUUCGUGACUGGGGUGAAGUCGUUAACAAGGUAACC